GAGAGGCCAAGACCACCCAUAAAAGCCUUGGGAAUGGGGGUAAGGGCCUUCUGAGCCCAGGUCUGAACUCUCCAUUCCUCUGCAGAGCGCUCU
This 93-nucleotide microRNA precursor is filed under the name Pan troglodytes (chimpanzee). RNAcentral's name for it is "miRNA". Lineage: Eukaryota; Metazoa; Chordata; Mammalia; Primates; Hominidae. The record is from RNAcentral.